RNAcentral lists this ribosomal RNA (434 nucleotides) under uncultured bacterium. Its description in RNAcentral is "partial 16S ribosomal RNA". It matches the Rfam family "Bacterial small subunit ribosomal RNA", at positions 29 to 507 of the family's 1533-position model. The record is from RNAcentral.
AGCGAACGCUGGCGGCAGGCCUAACACAUGCAAGUCGAACGAACCUUUCGGGGUUAGUGGCGGACGGGUGAGUAACACGUGGGAACGUGCCUUUAGGUUCGGAAUAACUCAGGGAAACUUGUGCUAAUACCGAAUGUGCCCUUCGGGGGAAAGAUUAAUCGCCUUUAGAGCGGCCCGCGUCUGAUUAGCUAGUUGGUUGAGGUAAUGGCUCACCAAGGCGACGAUCAGUAGCUGGUCUGAGAGGAUGAUCAGCCACAUUGGGACUGAGACACGGCCCAAACUCCUACGGGAGGCAGCAGUGGGGAAUCUUGCGAAAUGGGCGAAAGCCUGACGCAGCCAUGCCGCGUGAAUGAUGAAGGUCUUAGGAUUGUAAAAUUCUUUCACCGGGGACGAUAAUGACGGUACCCGGAGAAGAAGCCCCGGCUAACUUCGUG